UGGGAAUUUGGACAAUGGGCGAAGCCUGAUCCAGCAAUGCCGCGUGUGUGAAGAAGGCCUUCGGGUUGUAAAGCACUUUUGUCCGGAAAGAAAUCCUUGGCUCUAAUACAGUCGGGGGAUGACGGUACCGGAAGAAUAAGCACCGGCUAACUACGUGCCAGCAGCCGCGGUAAUACGUAGGGUGCAAGCGUUAAUCGGAAUUACUGGGCGUAAAGCGUGCGCAGGCGGUUUGCUAAGACCGAUGUGAAAUCCCCGGGCUCAGCCUGGGAACUGCAUUGGUGACUGGCAGGCUAGAGUAUGGCAGAGGGGGGUAGAAUUCCACGUGUAGCAGUGAAAUGCGUAGAGAUGUGGAGGAAUACCGAUGGCGAAGGCAGCCCCUGGCAAUACUGACGCUCAUGCACGAAAGCGUGGGGAGCAAACAGGAUUAGAUACCCUGGUAGUCCACGCCCUAAACGAUGUCAACUAGUUGUUGGGGAUUCAUUCCUUAGUAACGUAGCUAACGCGUGAAGUUGACCGCCUGGGGAGUACGGUCGCAAGAUUAAAACUUAAAGGAAUUGAC
Molecule: ribosomal RNA, 559 nt
Filed under: uncultured bacterium
Lineage: Bacteria
Description: partial 16S ribosomal RNA
Rfam family: Bacterial small subunit ribosomal RNA
Source: RNAcentral